UACGGAGGGUGCGAGCGUUAAUCGGAAUUACUGGGCGUAAAGCGAGUGUAGGCGGCUGCAUAAGUCGGAUGUGAAAGCCCCGGGCUUAACCUGGGAAUGGCAUUCGAUACUGUGCGGCUCGAGUCUGAUAGAGGGAAGUGGAAUUCCAGGUGUAGCGGUGAAAUGCGUAGAUAUCUGGAAGAACACCAGUGGCGAAGGCGGCUUCCUGGAUCAAGACUGACGCUGAGGUGCGAAAGCGUGGGGAGCAAACAGG
RNAcentral lists this ribosomal RNA (253 nucleotides) under uncultured bacterium. RNAcentral's name for it is "partial 16S ribosomal RNA". It matches the Rfam family "Bacterial small subunit ribosomal RNA", at positions 524 to 776 of the family's 1533-position model. The record is from RNAcentral.